RNAcentral lists this ribosomal RNA (518 nucleotides) under uncultured Glomus. Its description in RNAcentral is "SSU rRNA". It matches the Rfam family "Eukaryotic small subunit ribosomal RNA", at positions 569 to 1092 of the family's 1831-position model. Lineage: Eukaryota; Fungi; Glomeromycota; Glomeromycetes; Glomerales; Glomeraceae. The record is from RNAcentral.
AGCAGCCGCGGUAAUUCCAGCUCCAAUAGCGUAUAUUAAAGUUGUUGCAGUUAAAAAGCUCGUAGUUGAAUUUCGGGGUCAGUAGAUUGGUCAUGCCUCCGGUAUGCACUGGUCUUACUGGCUCCUCCUUCCUGAUGAACCGUAAUGCCAUUAAUUUGGUGUUGCGGGGAGACUGGACUGUUACUUUGAAAAAAUUAGAGUGUUUAAAGCAGGCUAACGCUUGAAUACAUUAGCAUGGAAUAAUGAAAUAGGACGUUCGAUCUUAUUUUGUUGGUUUCUAAGAUUGACGUAAUGAUUAAUAGGGAUAGUUGGGGGCAUUAGUAUUCAAUUGUCAGAGGUGAAAUUCUUGGAUUUAUUGAAGACUAACUACUGCGAAAGCAUUUGCCAAGGAUGUUUUCAUUAAUCAAGAACGAAAGUUAGGGGAUCGAAGACGAUCAGAUACCGUCGUAGUCUUAACCAUAAACUAUGCCGACUAAGGAUCGGAUGAUGUUAAUUUUUAAUGACUCAUUCGGCGUCCG